This 30-nucleotide non-coding RNA is filed under the name Homo sapiens (human). Lineage: Eukaryota; Metazoa; Chordata; Mammalia; Primates; Hominidae. The record is from RNAcentral.
UCUAUCCUCACCUCACCCCACAACCACAGU